This 329-nucleotide ribosomal RNA is filed under the name uncultured eukaryote. RNAcentral describes it as "partial 18S ribosomal RNA". It matches the Rfam family "Eukaryotic small subunit ribosomal RNA", at positions 1470 to 1796 of the family's 1831-position model. The record is from RNAcentral.
CCCUUAGAUGUCCUGGGCUGCACGCGCGCUACACUGACGAACUCAACGAGCUUAUCACCUUGGCAGAGAUGUCUGGGUAAUCUUUUGAAAGUUCGUCGUGCUGGGGAUAGAUGAUUGUAAUUAUUCGUCUUGAACGAGGAAUUCCUAGUAAGUGUGAGUCAUCAGCUCGCGCCGAUUACGUCCCUGCCCUUUGUACACACCGCCCGUCGCUCCUACCGAUUGAAUGGUCCGGUGAGGUUCUCGGAUUUUUUCUGUUGUUUGGUUCGCUAAACGAUUGAAGAGAGAAGUUACCCAAACCUUACCAUUUAGAGGAAGGAGAAGUCGUAACA